AAAGGGAGACCUAAUUCAGGUAAAAGACGAAAAAAAGUAGUCGCUACCAAGAAUCAAUCCCAAAAGGUCGGAGCGAGGCGAAAUUGGCUUUCAAACUAGGUUCUGGGUUCAAACAAGACCUGAAUCAGGAACAAGGGCUAUUAGCUCAGGUGGUUAGAGCGCACCCCUGAUAAGGGUGAGGUCCCUGGUUCGAGUCCAGGAUGGCCCACCUGCACAGGUGGCAAAAACAAGAGAAGCGAGGAAUCAGCACCUUAUCUUACUUAUAUAGUAAGAGAGAAUGCUGGCUCUGAGUAAAGAGUCCAGAGGAACCUUGAAAACUGCAUAGAGCUAGGUGAAAAAGCCAAAAAAGAAGACCGCAAG
RNAcentral lists this transfer RNA (360 nucleotides) under uncultured Microcystis sp. RNAcentral's name for it is "partial 16S-23S ribosomal RNA intergenic spacer". The stretch from base 135 to 208 matches the Rfam family "tRNA". Lineage: Bacteria; Bacillati; Cyanobacteriota; Cyanophyceae; Chroococcales; Microcystaceae. The record is from RNAcentral.